GACGAACGCUGGCGGCGUGCUUAACACAUGCAAGUCGAGCGGUAAGGCCCCUCCGGGGGCACACGAGCGGCGAACGGGUGAGUAACACGUGAGCAACCUGCCCCUGACUCCGGGAUAAGCGGUGGAAACGCCGUCUAAUACCGGAUACGACCCUCCGGCUCAUGCCGUGGGGGUGGAAAGUUUCUUCGGUUGGGGAUGGGCUCGCGGCCUAUCAGCUUGUUGGUGGGGUAAAAGCCUACCAAGGAGAUUACGGGGAGCCGGCCUGAGAGGGCGACCGGCCACACUGAGACUGGGACACGGCCCAGACUCCUGCGGGAGGCAGCAGUGGGGAAUCUUGCGCAAUGGGCGAAAGCCUGACGCAGCGGCGCCGCGUGGGGGAUGACGGCCUUCGGGUUGUAAACUCCUUUUACCACUCACGCGGGCCCGGAGUGUUCUUCGGGUUGACGGUAGGUGGGGAAUAAGGACCGGCUAACUACGUGCCAGCCGCCGCAGUAA
Molecule: ribosomal RNA, 495 nt
Filed under: uncultured bacterium
Lineage: Bacteria
Description: partial 16S ribosomal RNA
Rfam family: Bacterial small subunit ribosomal RNA
Source: RNAcentral